Molecule: microRNA, 22 nt
Filed under: Anopheles gambiae (African malaria mosquito)
Lineage: Eukaryota; Metazoa; Arthropoda; Insecta; Diptera; Culicidae
Description: aga-miR-10375a-3p
Source: miRBase by way of RNAcentral
UAAUGCGCUUUCUAUGAUGUAG